CAGCAGCCGCGGUAAUUCCAGCUCCAAUAGCGUAUAUUAAAGUUGUUGCAGUUAAAAAGCUCGUAGUUGAAUUUCGGGGUCAGUAGGUCGGUCGUGCCACUGGUAUGAACUGGUUUUACUGAUUCCUCCCUCUUGAAGAACUGUAAUGCCAUUAAUUUGUUGUUGCAGGGAAUCAGGACUGUUACUUUGAAAAAAUUAGAGUGUUUAAAGCAGGCUUUAGCUUGAAUACAUUAGCAUGGAAUAAUGAAAUAGGACGUUUGAUCCUAUUUUGUUGGUUUCUAGGAUUGACGUAAUGAUUAAUAGGGAUAGUUGGGGGCAUUAGUAUUCAAUUGUCAGAGGUGAAAUUCUUGGAUUUAUUGAAGACUAACUACUGCGAAAGCAUUUGCCAAGGAUGUUUUCAUUAAUCAAGAACGAAAGUUAGGGGAUCGAAGACGAUCAGAUACCGUCGUAGUCUUAACCAUAAACUAUGCCGACUAGGGAUCGGAUGAUGUUAAUUUUUUAAUGACUCAUUCGGCGCCUUACG
This 523-nucleotide ribosomal RNA is filed under the name uncultured Glomus. RNAcentral's name for it is "SSU rRNA". It matches the Rfam family "Eukaryotic small subunit ribosomal RNA", at positions 568 to 1092 of the family's 1831-position model. The record is from RNAcentral. Lineage: Eukaryota; Fungi; Glomeromycota; Glomeromycetes; Glomerales; Glomeraceae.